UUGAGUCUCGUAGAGGGGGGUAGAAUUCCAGGUGUAGCGGUGAAAUGCGUAGAGAUCUGGAGGAAUACCGGUGGCGAAGGCGGCCCCCUGGACGAAGACUGACGCUCAGGUGCGAAAGCGUGGGGAGCAAACAGGAUUAGAUACCCUGGUAGUCCACGCCGUAAACGAUGUCGACUUGGAGGUUGUGCCCUUGAGGCGUGGCUUCCGGAGCUAACGCGUUAAGUCGACCGCCUGGGGAGUACGGCCGCAAGGUUAAAACUCAAAUGAAUUGACGGGGGCCCGCACAAGCGGUGGAGCAUGUGGUUUAAUUCGAUGCAACGCGAAGAACCUUACCUGGUCUUGACAUCCACGGAAGUUUUCAGAGAUGAGAAUGUGCCUUCGGGAACCGUGAGACAGGUGCUGCAUGGCUGUCGUCAGCUCGUGUUGUGAAAUGUUGGGUUAAGUCCCGCAACGAGCGCAACCCUUAUCCUUUGUUGCCAGCGGUCCGGCCGGGAACUCAAAGGAGACUGC
Molecule: ribosomal RNA, 510 nt
Filed under: Escherichia coli
Lineage: Bacteria; Pseudomonadati; Pseudomonadota; Gammaproteobacteria; Enterobacterales; Enterobacteriaceae
Description: bacterial SSU rRNA
Rfam family: Bacterial small subunit ribosomal RNA
Source: RNAcentral